RNAcentral lists this ribosomal RNA (253 nucleotides) under uncultured bacterium. Its description in RNAcentral is "partial 16S ribosomal RNA". It matches the Rfam family "Bacterial small subunit ribosomal RNA", at positions 524 to 776 of the family's 1533-position model. The record is from RNAcentral.
UACGUAGGGGGCAAGCGUUGUCCGGAUUUAUUGGGCGUAAAGAGCGUGUAGGCGGCCAAGCAGGUCCGCUGUGAAAACUCGAGGCUCAACCUCGAGACGUCGGUGGAAACCGUUUGGCUAGAGUCCGGAAGAGGAGAGUGGAAUUCCUGGUGUAGCGGUGAAAUGCGCAGAUAUCAGGAGGAACACCGGUGGCGAAGGCGAGUCUCUGGACAUUUCCUAACGCUGAGGCACGAAAGCGUGGGGAGCAAACAGG